CUACGGGAGGCUCCAGUGGGGAAUAUUGGACAAUGGGGGAAACCCUGAUCCAGCAAUGCCGCGUGUGUGAAGAAGGCCUGCGGGUUGUAAAGCACUUUCGGUUGGGAGGACUGCUUCUAGCACUAAUAUUGUUGGAAGUUGACGUUACCUUCAGAAGAAGCACCGGCUAACUCCGUGCCAGCAGCCGCGGUAAUACGGAGGGUGCAAGCGUUAAGCGGAAUUACUGGGCGUAAAGCGCGCGUAGGCGGCUAGAUCAGUCGGGUGUGAAAGCCCCGGGCUUAACCUGGGAACUGCAUCCGAUACUGUCUAGCUUGAGUACAGGAGAGGAGAGUGGAAUUCCACAUGUAGCGGUGAAAUGCGUAGAUAUGUGGAGGAACACCAAUGGCGAAGGCAGCUCUCUGGCCUGAUACUGACGCUGAGGUGCGAAAGCGUGGGGAGCAAACAGAAUUAGAUACCCCCGUAGUC
This 465-nucleotide ribosomal RNA is filed under the name uncultured bacterium. RNAcentral's name for it is "partial 16S ribosomal RNA". It matches the Rfam family "Bacterial small subunit ribosomal RNA", at positions 339 to 795 of the family's 1533-position model. The record is from RNAcentral.